AAUCAUCUACGAAGGAAGGCAAGGAAAACUCCAUUUAGCAAGGUCCAUUGACAUACAAGCAUGUACACCAUUUCAAGAUAUUACAAAUAUUGUUGUUUCCCGAAGAUUAUCGGAGGAGUAACAUGGCAUCGGUGUACAAUAUGGAUGAUGCAUGUGUUGGAAUUGGCACUGCUAUCUCCACUGUACUGAAGGAGAUCAAGCCCAUUUCCAUCAGCAUCAACUGGAACUUUCCGUCGACUUGCAUCCUUCCCCUUUUUUUUCUCUCCCUGAGGUCACAUGACCAUUCUUCAUACACCGCUUCACUAGGACUAGCGCAGAACUACAGAUGAUGAAAAUUCCAAAAGAAGUUGCCUCUUGUUUGAACACCCCAAAGCAUGGGCUGGCGAGAUUAAGGUUGGGCAAAGAGAGCUUCAGGAGGACCGAGUAUGACACCUCACUUGUCAAUCGCUUAUUCUUCAAGCAAGGAUGGAAGAAGUUUCUCACGAGACAUGACAUGAGGUUGGCACUACGGUACUAAUUACAUUUAAGACCGUCGCCAAAAAUGAGUUGGAGAUUACAGUCAUCCUUUCAUGUCCUUUGAGAAGUUGAAGAUCAUGUUGGACGAGUUUCGGGCUUUCAUGAGUUAUUUAAUUAUUUCUCUGUGUCUUUUUUUUAAUCAUGGAGGAGAACUACGUGUGAACUUUAUAGAUACAAGAAGAAAAG
Molecule: long non-coding RNA, 702 nt
Organism: Triticum dicoccoides
Lineage: Eukaryota; Viridiplantae; Streptophyta; Magnoliopsida; Poales; Poaceae
Exons: 4
Source: RefSeq, a predicted model, not a curated record